UACGUAGGUGGAAAGCGAUACUCGGAAUCACUAGGCGUAAAGCGCAUGUAGGCGGUUUGGUAAGUCUUUUGUGAAAGCUCCUGGCUCAACUGGGAGAGGUCAAGGGAAACUACCGGACUAGAGUGUGGUAGGGGAUACUGGAAUUCCUGGUGUAGCGGUGAAAUGCGUAGAUAUCAGGAGGAAUACCUAUGGCGAAAGCAGGUAUCUGGGCCAUCACUGACGCUGAGCUGCGAAAGCUAGGGGAGCAAACAGG
This 253-nucleotide ribosomal RNA is filed under the name uncultured bacterium. RNAcentral describes it as "partial 16S ribosomal RNA". It matches the Rfam family "Bacterial small subunit ribosomal RNA", at positions 524 to 776 of the family's 1533-position model. The record is from RNAcentral.